UUUGAACUUGGCAAUAAUAAGGGACUUUGUAAGCAUAUCCGCCGGAUUGUCUUUAGUACCAAUUUUCUUAACAGUCACUGUGCGCUUCCCAAUCACAUCCCGAACAAAGUGAAGCUUCAUAUCGAUGUGCUUUGUCCUCUCAUGAAACAUUUGAUCUUUAGACAAAUGAAUAGCACUUUGACUGUCCGAAUAAACAACCGUCGGAUCCCAAUAAGAAGUAAGCUCUCCAAAUAAGCCUCUUAGCCACAUAGCUUCCUUCACACCCUCUGUCAUAGCAAUAUAUUCCGCCUCCGUCGUAGACAAGGCGACAAUAGGUUGUAGUGAAGCUUUCCAACUAACUGCACAUCCGCCAAUAGAGAAAACAUAACCUGAAAGUGAUCUCCUCCUAUCCAAAUCACCUGCAAAAUCCGAAUCAACAUAUCCAACCACACCAUCCUUACACCUCCCAAACUCCAAACAAGUGUUAGUGGUACCUCGUAAGUAUCUCAAAAUCCACUUAACAGCCUGCCAAUGAGCCUUACCAGGAUUGGUCAUAUAUCUGCUAACCAUGCUCACUGCGUAGGAGAUGUCCGGCCGUGUGCAAACCAUGGCGUACAUGAUGCUCCCGACAGCACUAGAAUAGGGAACAUGUGACAUGUACUCCCGCUCAUCAUCGGACUGCGGUGAUAACUCGGCGGAAAGUCUGAAAUGCGCCGCAAAAGGAGUGCUCACUGGUUUUGCGUCUGUCAUCCCGAAACGCUUUAAAAUCUUCUCUAUAUAUUUCUCUUGUGUCAAAUGCAGUAGUCCUGACUUGUUGUCCCUCUUAAUUUCCAUACCAAGGAUUUUCUUAGCAGCACCUAGAUCUUUCAUCUCAAACUCACCCUUAAGUAAAGCCUUCAAUUUAUUUAUCUCAACUAUGUCGCUGGAAGCAAUUAACAUAUCAUCAACAUAGAGCAACAAAUAUAUGAAAGAUCCCUUAUCAAGCUUUCUGAAAUACACGCAACUGUCACGCUUGCUUCUGGAAUAUCCGUGACCUGUCAUAAAGGAGUCGAACCGCUUAUACCAUUGCCGAGGAGACUGCUUUAAGCCAUAAAGCGAUUUCUUUAACAGGCAAACAUGGUCCUCCUUCCCUUCAACAAUGAAUCCCUCCGGCUGUUUCAUAUAAAUUUGCUCCUCAAGUUCUCCAUGCAGAAAAGCUGUCUUAACAUCAAGCUGCUCAAGAUACAGGUCAUUCAUGGCUACUAAUGAUAAAAGAACACGAAUAGAAGUAUGCUUUACGACGGGUGAGAAAAUAUCAUUAAAGUCCACACCUUCUACCUGACUGUAGCCCUUAGCAACUAAACGAGCUUUAUACCUUGUAUCUUCUACGCCGGGGAUUCCAUCCUUUUUCUUGAAGACCCACUUACAGCCGACAAUUUUCUUGCCUGUAGGCGGUUUUACCAACUCCCAUGUGCGAUUCUUAUGAAGAGACUCCAUCUCCUCAUUCAUCGCCACCAACCACUCUGCAGAACUGGCACCGGAAAUAGCUUGAUUAUAUGUAGAAGGUUCACCUUCUUCUUCUGUAUCUUGUGCCACUGAAAGAGCGUAAGCAACCAUAUCUUCAUAACUAUAUCUCUGCGGUGGUUUGAUCUGUCUCCUCGCUUUGCCUGUAGCAAUGCUCUGCCUCUCAACUUGUGGAGUUUCAGUUACUGAGGUGUCUGUCGACUGAACUUGUUCUGACUGAGAAGAAUCCUGUGACUGAACUAUACCAUCGGUCUCUACCUCCACCUGCUUGCUAGCACUCGGGGUCUCAUCAGAAGAAUUACGGUUAGGAUAUAACAUAGCAGAUUCAUCAAAUGUGACAUCCCUACUAAUAAUUAAUUUAGACGAUUCAGGACACCACAAUCUAUAUCCCUUAACCCCCGAUGCAUAACCAAUAAAAAUGCACUUUUUAGCCCUAGGUUCUAACUUGCCUUCAUUAACAUGAACAUAAGCAGGACAACCAAAUAUGCGUAAAUUAGAAUAAUCAGAAGGGCUGCCAGACCAUACCUCCUCCGGAGUUUUGCAAUCAAGUGCUGAAUGUGGAGAUCGAUUCACCAGAUAGCAUGCCGUAGAGAUCGCCUCUACCCAGAAACUCUUCGCUAAGCCAGCAUUAGAGAGUAUACAACGGGCCCUCUCCAAAAGAGUUCUAUUCAUCCGUUCGGCCACCCCGUUCUGCUGUGGAGUAUGCCUAACGGUUUUAUGUCGAACGAUCCCUUCCUUCUUGCAGAAUUCUUCAAACUGACGAGCAGAAUUCCAAACCAUUGUCGGUCCUUAAUCGUUUGAUCUUCUUUUCAGUUUGCUUCUCAAUCAUGACCUUCCACUGCUUGAAAUAAUUGAACACCUCAUCCUUACUUUUCAAAAAGAACGCCCACACUUUACGAGAAUAGUCGUCAAUAAAAGUCAACAUAUAUCUAGCACCACCAUGAGUAGGAAUACGAGAAGGUCCCCAAAGAUCAGAAUGGAUGUAGUCCAGAGUACCUUUUGUUCGGUGAACUGUGGCCUUAAAGCUGACUCUCUUUUGUUUGCCAAAAACACAAUGCUCGCAGAAGUCCAACUUUUCUAAACUCUGACUACCAAGUAGACCUCUCUCGCCUAACUUCAUCAUACCAUAUUCACUCAUAUGGCCCAGUCGCAUAUGCCAUAAUUUGGUGCUAUCCGAAUCUGACAUAGAGGAAGAAGUCACCGCUGCUGAACCUGUCACAGUGGAACCCUGUAAAACAUAUAACAUGUCGGACAACUUAGCCUUCAUCACUACAAGAUUCCCUUUAGCGACCUUCAUUAAUCCAUCAGCUGAAGAAUACUUAAAGCCUUUAGUAUCAAGUGUACCCAACGAGAUCAAAUUUUUCCUCAUAUCCGGAACAUGCCGAACCUCAGAUAUAGUCCUCACUACUCCAUCGAACAUUCGUACCCGAACAAUGCCAAUUCCAAUAACUGUGCACUUAGAGUGAUUUCCCAUCAAUACAUCUCCACCUUCAAUAGGCAUGUACGUCGAGAACCAUUCUCUAUGUGUACAGAUAUGAAAAGAACAUGCGGAGUCCAUAAGCCACUCAUCCUGUCUACGUGUCUUAUUCGUAACUGUAAAGACGAUAUCAUUUUUAUCUGAUUCUCCUGCUGCAACACUUGCUUCUGCUUCAGUAUUGGUGUUUUUCUGACCUUGAUUCUUAUCACCAUUAUUCUUCCGCUGCUCUUUAUUUUUCAACUUGAAACAAUCAGCUUUUAUGUGACCCUUCUUCUUACAAUAACCACAAAUCAGAUUCCUAUGCUUUGACUUUGAUCUAGAUGUACCUCUAUUACCAGAACCCUUCUCCCGAGACCUCCCUCUAGCGACCAAACCUUGUCCUGAAGCUCCAGCUGUCUCGUUGCUUAUCUGCAUGUCAAUUCUCUCUUUUGAAAGUAAAGAGGAUUUAACAUCAUCGAGACAUAGAGUAUCUCGUCCAAACAAGAAAGUCUCACGAAAAUUCUUAUAAGAGGGCGGUAGAGAACAUAAUAAUAAAAGGGCUUCAUCUUCCUCCUCGAUUUUAACAUCUAUCGAGCGGAAAUCCAUAAUGAUAGAAUUAAAUUCAUCUAAAUGCGACUUAAUAGAGGUACCUUCCGCCAUGCGCAACAUGAAGAGACGUUGCUUCAAAUAUAACUUGUUAGUGAGAGAUUUCGUCAUAUAGAGAGACUCCAAUUUAAGCCAAAGCCCUGCUGCGGUCUUUUCAUCCAAGACCUCGCACAAUACCUCAUUAGAUAAACAUAAUUGUAUUGCCAUAAGAGCUUUGUCAUCAAUCUCCUCCUUCUGCUCUGCCGUUAAUGAAUCGGACAUCUUUUCUUUUCCCUACAGUGCCUUCUGCAAUCCUUGCUGCGUCAAUACUGCACGCAUCUUGACUUGCCAUAAUGCGAAACUGUUGGUCCUGUCAAAUUUCUGAAUCUCGAACUUCGUCGUCAUCUUAAUCCUCAAAGGGAAUAGAAAGGCUCUGAUACCAGUUUGUUAAAAUCGGAACGGCGAAAAAUAGAUCCAGAAAAUAGUUUAAUGCAAGAAAAGAAAAGAUAAGGAAAGAACACACCGAUAUUUACGUGGUUCGGCCAACGGCCUACGUCCACGGGCGAAGACGGAGCAAAUAAUUUAUUAAUGUCGAAAAGGCGGAGUACAAAGAAAAUCUCUCAAAGAUCAAAACUUGAUUAGAUCCGAAAUGCCGCAACAAGCAACUCCGGAAAAACGAGGCUGCUCUCUCACCAAUCCGUACGGACCACAAAAUUAGCACUAAUUAGUACGGCUCCUUCUUGGUUCUCUCCGCAACAGCCGUACACACCCUCCAAGAGACUUAAUUAAUUAGUGCAUGGCCACUUCUAAUUUGUCGCGGCGGCUUCUUGAUCGUCCGGAACAUACAUUGCUUGGCUUAAUUAGUAUGUGGCAUCUUAAUUUGGUCGCGGCGAUUAAUUUGGCCGUAGCAUAUAUUUAUAAUACAUGUCUCCUAAAUAGAGUCUAAUCCUAAUUCAAUUAGAAAUUAGAUUCCGACUCAUAAUCCAUAUAUGCCAAAUUAAAUCUAAAUUAUAUCCAAUCCCAAUUAGAUUAGGAUUUAAUUCCAAUUUAGAUAACUACAAAUCUAAACCAAAUAUAACAAUGGCUCGACAUCUCGCUCCGACAUCGAAACUCCAUCAGAUGGCGUGGAGGAUAUUCUGGAUGUGCACGAGUCAGCAACGCGACAUGGCACUCAUCGCCGAUACUUGGUGCGUUGGCGUGGACGACCAUUGUCCGAUAGCAAUUGGAUUUCUGAGGCGGAGUUGCGCCAACUUCGAGAGGACUUGUACCAGAGAUAUCAAGAUGCCAUCUCGACGGAGUCGAGAUUUUCCCAACUCGAGGGGAACUGAUGCAGCAAAUAAAUCUCGUUUUAUUUUCGAAUGCAAUUUUCUUUUAUUUUGUAGGUUCGUGUUUGAUUCUAACUUAAAUCAUUUAGGUUUAGUUGAUUUGGCUAACCCAAACCCUUUUCUCCAAUAAACAAAAAAACAAUCCCAAAAAGACCUUUAGAAUUCCCCAAAAACAAAGACCUUUGAAAUUCUCAAAAUUGUUUUGUUUUCUAUGCAUGACUCAUGGGUGACCGUGUUGUGUUGAAAACGAAAAAACAAUAAUUUAUUAUCAGAGGGCUCUCAACACUAUAAAUACAUGGUUCUUGAAGCCUUAAGGGAGAUAUAUUUGGAUGAAUAAAAAAUUCUACUCUCACUCUUUAUCCUUGGUGUUCUACUUCCCGGUGAGAUCAUCGACGCUUCUUACUCGCGCCGAGAUCGUCUUCUUCCUCAACUUGAUCAUUAUCGCUUCUUCCUCGUGACAAGAUCGGCUUCUACUUCUACGCCUCCUCUUCUUCCGAGUCACUAUCUCAUCUUCUUCUUCUAUGUUGCCGAAGUUCUACCCGUGGUGUACCGCCCUCCUCGUCGAUCGUGGAUCCCCCACAAUCGUGUGAACGGUGCACUUUUUGUAUCUCUCAUCUCCUGAUAUCCUAUUAUUCCCUUUUAAUCUAGCCUUCCACCAUUACCAACCAUAUUUGCCAAACAACCAAACCUAAAGCUUUAACUCCGAUAAAGCCAAAUUUACCUUUUGGAAGUAUUAUAUGUAUUUUCAGUUGGUUGUUAUUAUCUCAUAUAUUGAAGGUUUAUCAACAUUUUAGUAUUACUUCAAUUCGGUUUUAAUUUUUGUCUUGCUGAAAUUUUUGCUUCCUUACUUAAAAUUCAUCGGAAUUGAUAAAUUAAACGUUGUUUUACCUUUAAACAAAAGCAAACUUGAAAAUUCAAUUUUGGCAACCUCUCGGUUUGCAUCAGUAAUGCUUCGAAGCAACAAAGAAAAACAAGUUUUAAACCUAGCAAAGUGAACAAAUGUCCUGCAUGGUUACAGUUAACUUACUGGGUUUACUAACAAAAAGCCAUUUGACUAAAGAUUCUUUUACUAGCUUGUAGCUAUGAAACUCAGGUAAUAUUAAUUGAAAGAACAUUUGGAAACAAAAGUAUCUUCAGUUAUAGCUAAUAAGAUAAAGCUAGGAAGCAAGCAACUCAGACAUGUAAUUAUCACAAUUAGAAGCCAACCUGUCGUAUAAAGGUUGAUUUACCACCCAUGUUAGGCCCAGUGAUUAUCUGAAACCAGCUCUUACCACGGACCUAUAUUCAGCCAAAAUCACCACAUAUUAGAAAGUGAUUUUCUCCUGCAAUUACAACCAAAGAGACUCUGCAAGAUUACUUACAAGAGUGCAAUCAUUAGGAAUAAAAUUCACACCAUCUUGAGCCUCCACACAAGGGUGCCUGCUUCCUUCAAGUAUAAUAUCCCCUUCAUCCUUCAAUAAAAGACCAUUAAAAUUAUGAUGACAAUAUAGUUCAGAAAAAUAUCACAUAUGGGAAAAAUAAUAGCCUGUAUAUCUUACCGAGGGCGUGAUAUCUGGUCUUACAUAUGGUAUUGGACAACUGGUUGCCAAGUCAGCAAAGCUUAACAAAACAUCAAGCUCUGAAAGAACCCCAGCAAGAGCUUCAAACACCUAAUGACCAGAAAGAUUUAAGGCAUUUCUUACAUGUAAAAAGAAGCCAAUAAAAUGACACUUAGGCAUACCUCCGAAAAUGUAGCUGAAGUAUCAACUACUCGAGCAACAAUACCUUUCUGACAACUUGUGUACUCGCUAAGUAUCUUUUGAUAUUGAUCUCCUAACUUUUUAAGCUUGGAGUUUGUAAACUUCACUCCAUCCUUUCUAGUUUCCAGAACAAUGUAAUGAGUACUGAGCUUUUUUCUUACUUUCUGCUCUUCUUUCUUUGUGAUCCUAAAAACAUGUCCAAAUUGCGUUCCUUUUUCUAACUUCAAUGCCUUAUCAAGAGGAAGAUCAAGAUCAUUUGCUGUUUGCUUAUGCAAAUUGUCUAUCUGAUGCUCAAUUGCAUUAAGCUCGUCCUUCAGUGCAGCCAAGUCGGGAUCAUAGUUAGGAGAUAUCAUGUAUUCACCAUUCUCUAGUUGAUCGAGGUCAAUAGAAACCUCAACAAGAGCAAUAAACUUGCCCAACCGAUCCUCAUCCAUCCAAAAUUUUAAAGUUUCAAUAUACCGGCUCCUUAUUAAUGGUGAAAACUGCCCUUCACAAUGCUCCAGAACAUCUUUGAUGUGUGGAAGUCUAAUGCCUGACUGCAUAAUAGAAAAUUCAAUUUAAUGAAAACUUAGAUUACAAAGAAGUUGUAAUAAUCAAUACACAAAGGGGCAUUAACUGUAUUGAUACUAACAUGUAAGAAACUAGGGAAAUUUGGCUAUGAAAGAACUAGUAAUAUGGGUAAUUAAAAGGAAUGAGGGAGAUUACCUGAUAUAGUUUUAUCACUGGCAGCAAAUUAGCUGAUUUCUUUUUCAGGAUAUGUGUCAAACGCUCAAUAUCUGAAAUUCUUUUCAGGUGUUGCCUCAGUCCUUGACGAAGCUCUGCAUCCUCCACAAAUGCCUGAACCAAAUUCAGCCUGCAGUUGAUCUCAUUCACAUCUAAUAAUGGUUGUUUGAGCCACCGAUUAAGAAGCCGCUUUCCCAUGCCAGCAGUGCAGGUUCUAUUCAUUAGGCCAAACAAACUAAAAUUUUUGUUUAAGUCAGUCUUGCUCUCUAAAACAUUUAAUGCUCGCAUUGCAGCUGAAUCCAGUCUCAUGUAGCUGUCCAAAUUGUACUUUUCAAUGCUGUAAUUUCCAUAAUUACUAUCAUCUGAAAGUAACUCCAUAUAGGACAUCAAAGCCCCCAAUGCACCUAAAGCAUAUUCGAAUUCGGAGAGUAGAUCACGAACUGGUUCAAUUGCUCCUCUGACUAUCCUACCAAGAUCCUGCACCAAAUCUCUCGAUCUGAAUUCAGACUUUUUCCGUUCAGUGACAAGAACAUUGCAUCUGGAAAGAGCAUCAUGAAGAAGCUUGAAAUCACUGGUCUUCCCACUUUCCAUAGGAAGAAGACACUCUUUACAACCAAGAGCAACCAAUACUGAUUCAAGGUUUGUGAACUGGCUAUCAUCAAGAAACUCCGCCACACCAAGCUUUCUCUUAGUCAUAUCCACGAAACUUAGCCCUAUUGUGCACUGGUUUUCGCGGAAUAUAGGAAACAGUGAAACAGUGACAGGGUAAUCCUGCAUCUCAUUGUUUGCAAACAGCACAUCUUCAAAACUACCAAUGUUGCCAGGUGUGCCAGUUUUAGUCAACCUCCAAUUUGAUCCACUACCCUCAUAGAGCUCCAGUGUGUGAUCUGUUCUUUCUAGCAAAAGGUCGCGAGCGAUCGUCUCAAACAUAUUUUUACUUAUGCUCACACUGGAUAUUCCCUCUGGACCAUUACCCAACUGUCGCAAAGCUGUAGUAGUGUGGUAAUAUGUCCUCGCGAUGAAGGUUGCAUUCUCACCAUGAGCAGUAUAAUAAUCCUACCAAAAUAACGAAAUAGUUAGCAAGGGUUUGUUCCAGGGGAACAAGUCCAUCAGAUAAAAGGAUAAGUGAAAGAAAGAAAAAAGUCACUUAGUUGCAUUAUGUGUUAAUUGUGUAGGCACAAAUUUGCAUCUAUUGUAUUUAUUUUUAAGAUAUAUUUGAUGUAGCUCAUCCACAAUCUGCACAUAUAUGUAUUUUUGGUAUUUUUAGGAAAAGAGAAAAUUAAUAAUGUGCCUCCAUAUGUCCCACUCCCGCCCUCUUCUUCUUUCAUAUGCACAGCCUCUUGACAAUCAGCAUACCAAACUCCCCUAUUAGGGCAAUGAGGUAUUAUAUUUACUUGAAUUUGCUAUUUUAAUGCUUGAGUUGACUUCCAUUCACCAACUUCAAUAUGAAUUCAAGUUGUUAAUAGGAAUUACUGUUAUCUGAGACAACACAUUAUGAAGACAAGUUCACUUGCAUACACUUGUCCUAGACUUCUCAUAAUAAUUGACAAGUGCAUCACAUUUUUUACCAUGAAACCAACUUUCUUAUUAGUCCCCGAACGUCAUCAAAAAAAGUGGAAAGUACAUUAAAAUUUGCUGUAUGUCAGUGCAAUUAUAUAUUUCAAAGAGGUAUACACAAAAAUAUCUAUAACCUAAUUGGACUUGGGAUAUCAGAAAAAUUGUAUAAAGAAACAAAAACUGGAAGUUGCUAAAUUCUAACAGUUUGCUCACCUUUAACUGAGGUUUCAAUUAAACUACCUUUAAGAACAAAACCAAGAAUUUAUAGAACAACUUUCUUGCAUUCCUCUCUCGCAAGUCACAAUUAAUCAAGUACCCCUCUUUUAUAUAAGUCAAGAAGCUCCCUGAGCAGUUCUCUAGAUCAGAGAUUUAUAAAUUGAUAAUGCAAAUUCAAAGUUGUUGAAAGACACACUUGAAAAAAAUGUCAAGUAAAAAAGCAAAAAAAGAAUGUGGGAAACUUUCAAAAGCAGCUAAUUGAAAUGCCUUUCAUUCCAAGGAACCUGAUCAGCCCUUCACAUCCCUUAAACAGCACAAGCUUUCACUCCAAAUUUUAUUUCCAAUAAGGACAACAAAAUGGAUACAUCAAAUGAAUUUUUGAGCAUUCAUAAAAUGUACAGCGCUCUCACUCACCCGUCGAUCGAAGAACCGCACAGCCCUAGCAUCCUGCAAACCCAAAAAGAAAAAAAGAUAUAUUACAAUAAAGCAAAACAAACAACAAGAAUUACUGUGAUGAGUGGGAAAGAGAUUGUUAGCAAGGAUGCUUACUUGUGGCAGGUUCUUGAAAAAAGAAAUAAAACCCUGGGCUUGCCUGGCAUCUAAAGAAGGACCAGCCACAUAAUAGAAAGAUUUUUAAAAGAAUAGGAAGAGUACCAAAAAUAAACAGAAGAAAAGAUUUGGUAAAGAUUUUUGCGAUACCUAAUUUGAGUUCAGGGAGCUUGUUGCGUUCUGGUGAGUGAUCGGCCUCCAUUUCCUAUCAGCUCAAAGAAGACGGAGGGACUUUCUCCUGUUGGAAACCAAGGGAAGAGUUUUUGAGGUUUAAGAGGCCAACUUUAUUAGCACAUCGACUAUGGUUUAUACGGUAUAGUUGAUGGAAUUUGGAGGCAGAUUCAACGGGACAUGACGAUGCUGUGGCAGGAAAGCGAGAUUGUUAGAGAAGGAAUAGGGUGAAAACGGAUCGAAUACAGUUGGAUAUUUGACGAAACCAUAUCCGCAUCCAUUACUUUUUUUUCGGAUACAAAUUUGAAUGUGGAUAUGCGUCAAAUGUUAAAUUUUUGUUACCAUAUCCGCUAAAAUGGAUUCAGAUAAGAAUCGAAUAUUUCUUCGGAUUCGAAUAUGAUCGGAUUUAUAUUUGGAUAUUGUUCAGAUAAUAAUAUAUAUUAAUAUCCAUAUAUAAAUAUGAACUAGACUUAGCAACAAUGCAACUAAAGUUUACAUUCGUGUUCAAAUUUUUAUAUGCAUAUGUUUUAUUGAAUAACAUCUAAAAUUUAACAAACAUAAAUGCAAUUCUAAAAUGAAAAUCAUAAUAAAAUGAACAAAGAACGCAAUAAAUCACCUUAUUCCCCCACAAAAUAUAUUAACGUCCCCCUUGUCCCAACAAAAAGCAAUCAAAAUCUCCCUUAUCUCCCCGUAUAUAGCAAUUAAGCAGCACUUAUCUCCCCAAAAAAAAUUAAUUAAGCGCUCCCUUAUCUCCCCACACAUAUAAUCUAGAACUUUUGUUUCUCAAAUCAAAGAAAUGGUAAAACACUAUAUACCUUGAUUGACAAUGAGUUAGAUAAGUCGACAAGAGAGAUCUAUUAUUCUAAAUAUGAUUUAUAAGAAUAUAACCAAACAAAACAAAUUAAUAUAAUUCAUCAAACUAAAGUCAUAAAUAAACAAAAGUGACCAUCUUAUCUCCUUUUAUAACAUUAAGUAGCCACUGUUGACCACUUGAUCAUCUUGGAAUGGAUGCAUUUUUGUGCCCACUCCACUAGUAAGUAAAAAAAUCAAAUAGAAAUUGUUUUCUAGAUCAUUUUAACAGCACUUCUUCCACACAAGGAGUGCACUACUUUCAUUGGUUUUCUACACUGUGACGGAAAAUUACUAUGGUACUUCUUUUUUCUAGAAUAUAAACAAGUUAAUACAGUAUUUUUCUGCAUAAUCUCUUAUUCUAGCUGCAACAAAGCUCACAGAAUUUUUUUUUUUUACACAUCUAGAAACAUGGAAGCACAAUACUCAAUCAGCAGCGAAUUUCAUACAACACAUUACAUAUUUCCACUACUGAAUCACGAAAUGAGCUACAGAACACUUAAAUGGGUUGCUGAAUGUAGCACGAAUCUACAGUUGUUCAUAUAUUUGAUCAGCAGUUAUGCAAUGUGACUACUACUCAAAGUGACACAUUAGAAACUUCUAUUUAUAGCUUAUUACUCAAGUAACUCAACAGGGGGAGGCUUACCACAAGAACAACAACUGAAGCUGCGGAUCCAACAAGAGCUUUGGUGCUCAAAAGGAGAGCAAACCCUAGAUAUCGCCACCACCUGCUCCUCGACUUGUUGUCGUCCUCACGAGAGUGGGCCGAGCGCGGUUAGGAGUUCGGACCCGUACGAUACAAGAGGACGGAGAGAGGGUGUAAGAGGGCCUUGGCCGAUGGUGACCGAGGAGUCAAGGACGAGUGGGGUCUAGGGUUUCUAUGCGAGUGUGCGUCGGGGUGAGGGAGGCGGGAUUUGGAGUUCGGACCCAAUUGAGAGAGGGGAAACCCUGGAUAUCGCCACCACGGCACCACCUCCUCUUUGUCCUCGUCGUCCUCCUCCCGAGAGAGAGCGAGGCGCCGGGGUCGAGUGUGGAGUGCAAAGGAGAGAGAGAACCAGAGUGGGGAGAGAUGAGGGGAGAUGGGGAGAGAGAAAGAGUGAGAGUGGGGUUUAGGGUAUCUUUGGUCGGUCGGUCGGGAAAAGGGGAGCGGGCGGGAUUGGGUUUAGGAAGAAAAAGAGCGCGCGCGCGGGGCUGGGAACGGAGAAUAGGAUGCAAUACGCAAAAAUAAAUAAAUAAAUAAAAUAUAAAUAUAAAUAAAAUAAAAAUAAAAAUAAAAAUCCCUUCACUACAAACUUUGUAAAAACUUCUUGUUUUUAAAAAUCGCCUGGGACUUAGGGGCGUUUGGAUUGACGUAUUUGUAGAUUCAACAUAAGUUAAGUAUAGUGGUGUUUGAGUUUUCCUGAAGUGUGAUUAUUAUUUUUUUUUUUUUUUGAUGUAACUCGUACCGUCUGAAAGUUAAAUUCAAUCACUUCUGUUGUUUGUUUUGAUGUAACUUGGUGCUGGUAAAAUUAGUUUUUUGAGUUCCGUUGUUUGUUUUGAUGUAAGUAAGUGGAUCUCAUUAUCUCCUAAAUAUAGUAGUAAAUUUACCACUAUAAAAUUUAAUUUAUUAUAUAAUUAAUUUUUUUAUUAUUAUUUAAAAAUAAUAAUAAUUUAUUAUAAAUAAGGUAAUUCUAACCCAUUAUAAAGUAAGUAGAGUUUAGGUUUUACUGUUUAAUAAUUUUUUUAGAGGAGGUUGAGUGUAGUGAAAGUCGAGUUCGGCACUUUAGAGGAGGAAGUCGAGAGUAAGUGAAGUGGAGCUCUAACGUAACUUGAGUUACAUUAUAUUUUUCACUUACUUUAAAACAAAUAACGGAAGUGAUGGAACUUGAGUUCCAUCACUCCACUUACACCAAAACAAACGGGCCCUAACUGGUGGAAUUGGUCUGACUAUUACUCAAUUUCUUAACCAAUUCGAUUUGACCCAUAAAAAGAUUUUAAAAAUCAUAUUAACAGUUUGAACAAGCGGUUCAACUGGUAAACUAGUCAAUCGAUCCGAUUUUAAUUCAACCAGUCCGAAGGGUCACUUAUCAUAGAUCAUCGAUCGGACGAUUCAAUCAGCUCGAUUUAGAUCUUUUAAGAAUCUUGUAAAAUAUAUAUAUAUAUUUAUCUUUUUUAUCUUUAUUGUUUUAUGGCCAAGUUGCAUAAAAAAUCGACUAAUUUUGGGCUUUUGCAAAUGUGGGCCAUCUUUUUCGUUUUUACAGAUUCGGUCCGAUUUUUUAGCAAACUGAUCAAAAUGCCCCUUGUAUACAGACGCCUUCCGCGUAUUUCUUGACAUACGUAUUGUCACGCCCCGGGACCGAUACCAAUUUGGCCCGACCCGAGCACGUCAAACAGACGCCGAACGGACAGAGUUUUUCCUAUCCGCCCAAGGCUCAUCACAUGUACAUUUUCAUCAAUAGAGAAAAGCACUAGCGGAAACAUACACAAACGGCUUACACGAGGGUAAGCAAUAGCCAUUAGUGAAAGAAAAAGGAAACUAAACAUUCACUUGUACUAUGAUUCAUUUUUGAUCAUAUACAUUACGUUCAUCUUGUUCAUUUUCGAAUUCCUUACAUUUCAUUUCAUCAUUUAUUUCCUACAUCAUAUUUACCUCAAAAUACACAUUACAUUCUUUUCUUUACAUUAUUUACCAUCAUGUACAAAAGAUGAUCAUAGGGUACUUUACUACAAAAUAAAACCCAACUUUGGUGGCCUCUGACUAAGGCGCGAUACCUUUACCUCGGUCGCUCGCCGGCUCGCUCGGUCCCGACUCUGUGGAAAUAGUGGGGUGAGAACUACAACAAGUUCCCAGUGGGUUCGGCCAACAUCACCGACUUUCCCACUAGAACUAACUCAGGCAUAAUAGAAAGGAUAAGCUGAAAUAUAGUAACCAAUCUACAACAUGAUGCUAAUAUGCCUGAACAAAAGCAAGGAAUAUGCUCAAUAUUAACAUAUGCAGAUUAUGCAAGUUCUUUCGUUCUUUAUCUUUACACUUUGUUCUUGUUCUUUGCUCUUUGUUCUUUAUUCUUUAAUCUCAAGGCUAACCCGGGGGUUUUGCCACAUUAACUUGCUUCACAUUAAGUCCAUCAUGCAAGGAACAAGCUCAGGAUCCGUCUUCGGCGUUUACUCCAACCCGUGAUGCAUAACUCCGGAGCGCAUCCCGAGGGAGCGACCGCCCGCGAGCACGGAAUCAUAGCAAGUAUGAUCGUAUCCUUAACUCAAAGGAUUUAUAAGUUCAAUCUUGACUUUACACUAGCUCUAGUGUUCAUACUCGCUUUAUGUUGCAAACUCAUGCAAUCGUUGUUCUUACUUUCUUUUACUUUUGCGCAUCUUUAGCAUUCUUGUUCUUUACAUUCUCCGUUUAUUGCCCCACUUUAUUAACUUUACACAUUGUCAUUUCAUCAUUCUUUACAUCACUUUGGUUUUGGCUUCACUAACUCUAGUGUCACUUUACUCUACGUUUCAAAUGCCACCCGAUCUAUUGUCAUUGUGCCACUCGGGUUCUUUUGCCCUCAGUUUGGUGUGCUCACUUUUCUCUCAUGCAUACACAUAGGUUUUUACAUUCAUAAGGUUCUCAACCAUCACAUUUGGCACGUUGUACUCACAAAAUCAUGCAAUCGUCACAUUUUAUCAUACAUUUUAACCUAAAAUGGUGCAACAACAUAUAUAUAUGCUCAAAUUGAAUGUGACACAUUAGGCAUAGACGGGGAGCUUCAAAUAAGUUUGAAGAAGCACCACCCACCUCGUAGGCUUUCAAAGGUGCUCCGAUGAUUUUCUUGGGAUUUCUAGAUGCUUCGUUCUUUACCUGCGGCAAAACGAACCCUUAUUAGGCCAUUUUGCCCAUAACUUUUGAUUGUCCUUUCGUAUACUUCAACGGAGCGCACCAACGCGUUCGUUGGGUCCCCAAUUAGGUUUUUGGAGGGUCAAUUGCACUUAGAAACCCUCAUGAGCAAAAGCUCCAAUUUGGGUGCCCUAGCUCCAAUGUAUAUCAAAACCUAGGGUUUGAUCUCUUUGGGAAGCAAAAGUAGCUUCACUAUACUCUAAAUAGUCCAUUAGAACCAUUCCUAGGCUUUCCAAAACCCUAGAUUAGAUUUCACCAUUAGAAGUGGGUUGAAGCUCACCUUGAGCUCAACCAUGGUUUUGAUCUCUAAAGAAGCAAAAAGAAAGCUUCAAACUACUAGAUAUUCUACUAGAAACCAUCUCUAGGUUCAUUCAAACCCAUUUCUAGGGUUUUACUACAUUAGGGUUCAAAGCUUACCUUGUAAGCUUCCUUUUCUUGCACUAGAGAAGAAGGAGAUAAAGCCUCUUUGCUCCAAAAGCUUCUUCUUCACCUUCUUUGUCUUCUUUUCCUUUCUUUUCAUUUGCCUUCUUCUUCUCAUUCUUUGUCUUCUAGAGAGAGAAAGAGAGGAGAGAGUGUGAGAGGGUGAGAAUGAGAGGAAAAGCCCCUCAACCCAUUAACAUAGCUCAAUGGGUUGCAAAAAUGCAAUAAAACCCCUCAACUUUCACUUUAAUGCACUGCCCGAACUGGGCAGUUCGCGCAGGCGGGGACCGGUCUCUCCUUCAGGGACCGGUUCCCGAAGGCUCUCCCCGCGCAGCCAGAGCUGUUGCGCGCAGGGCAACCGGUCUCUCCUUGGGGGACCGGUCUCUCGGGAACCGGUCUCUCGGACAGGGACCGGUUCCCGAGAGCUACUUUCACAGGACUUAGCCGAUUUUUCGGCUGUCUCAUUUCAUACGCGUUCGGGGACCGGUCUCUCCCACCAGGAACCUGUCCCCGAGAGCUCAAAAUCUGCAGCUUUGCAGAUUUGAUUCUAUAGCUCUCGAAAACCUCCCGUAACUCACUUUUACUCAUUUUAACAUCUUCGGAUUUUCCGAAGUGUACCAUCCUCGCACUUUGGUCAAUUUGACUAAAGUUCGACAUUUUUAUUUUCCGAAUUUUCGGUAUAUUACACGUAUUCCCUGCUGUACAUUCCUGGCGGGCAUUAAAUGCGCCCAUUGUAACACACUGGACCUUUACAAAUUGCGAGGUUCGAGUAUUUGGAUGUGUUCUGAGUUUUUUCAGACUUUCUGGUGGGUCGUAAACAGUGUUCCGACCUAUGGUUCGAACCCCGAGGAUUGAGCUCUGAAGCCUAGCACCAAAACCCGAAAAAAAAUGGAUUUUUGGUUAGCUCUCGGGUAGCCUUCAUUGGGCUGUGUACCGGUACAGGGUUGAUGGCUGUACCGGUACAGGGUUGAUGGUUGUACCGGUACGUGAUUGUGUACCGGUACACAGGCAGCUUCCCAGCCAACCCGAGGGUCGGGUUUGGCAUUUUCGUGGGAUGUGUACCGGUACGUGGGCCCGUGUACCGGUACGCAGUGGCAGUUUUUGAGCAGUUUGAACUGUAGGGGGUUUUUCGCAAUUGUGGUCUUCUAUAUAGCACCCCAUGCCCCUUGGGGCUUUCCCUCAGCUGAGGAAGGAGGAGAAGGAGGUAAGAGAGCCCUCCUUACCAUUUCUUUGGAUUUAUACCCCUUUUUGUUGGGAUUUUGGUGGAUUUACUCCUCUUUUUGCCUUUUGAAGCCUUUUCUACCAUUGUUGAAGCUUGGAGCUUGGUUUUGGUGCAUGGUUGAGGGAAGAUCUUUGGACUUAGAGAAUUUAGAGCUUGGAUUGAUGCUUCUAAGAGGUAAUUUACUUGUUCUCUCCCUCUAGAAUUGAGUUUUAUUGUUGGAUUUGAGAUAAAACCCUAGAAUGGAGACUUAGGGUUUGAUUUGGGCAUUUUUGAUCUAGGGCUUUUGGAGCUAAAUUAAUUGGAUUAGAACCCUCCUUUUGGUUGGAUUGGAAGGAAUUUUGCUCUCUUUUGGAGCUUGGGAAAGAUUUUCUACUCCCUAGGUGAGAUUUUAGCCAUUUUGCCUUGAUGGUUAAUAUUUGAUCUUAUCGUUGAUCGUAAUGCCCGUGUAUCUCUUCGCUCCUUACUUUUAGGAUACUUAGAGACUCGUGGACAACUCCGUUCGGCGAAACGAAGGACUACGCGACGUUUCGGUGGGUUUAACCUAGCCACACAAUGAGAAAAUCUCAUUUGUGAUGAUUUGAGUAUCGUUAAAUGAUAAAGCAUGCAUAAUCAUGUUAUAUAUAUUUAUUAUGAAUUUUAGAAUGCUUAACAUGCCUAUGUAAUGUAUAGUAAAUUUUUGGAUCUCUAUGUGAUAUAGUGCAUGCAUAUGAGAUGUAGCAUUCUAGUUGAGACUUGGAACCAUGAUUCCUAUUAUGAAAAUGAACAUUACUUUCAUGCAUUUAACCUUCAUGCCCAAUUGUGACAUUAGGGACUUCGGAAGCCUAGAGAGGCUUGGGGACUUAGACUAUUUGAGAAUUUGGGCCAAUGUCAUAAAGAGGCAUUGGGCUCGGGCUAUAGUGAACAUUGGCAUUAAUGUCUUAAUUGGAACAUAGAAAAUGAAUUGGGCUUGAUUGGUUGUGAUGCUUAAGUGUCAUAAAGAGGCACUAAGCCAGUGUGUGUUGAGUUAUUACAUUGUGACAUAGAGCUAGACCGUUGGGAUACUAGUAGCUAUUGCCAUGUUUGAGACAUGAGGGUUGGAUACUUGAGCCUUUGACUACGCUUGCUUGCCAUUUGUGCUCAUUCGCACAUACUUGUGAGGGUCGCUCCCUACAAACCGGCACUUCGGAGUUAGCCUAUGCGACCUAUGUUCACUCGUGCGGUAUUGAGAAGCUUACGAGGUCGAGUGGGACAGACACAUUUCAAGAGCAGGAAUGUCGUGCUACCACAGGCACUUAGGCGGUACAAGCUGGACUACCUUGGGUAAGUCCUUAAUUGGAAAUUGAAAUCGACAUGGCGUCGAGUGGGUUUUAAUCUCUACUAGAUAGAGAGUAGUAAUUGGAUUACUUGGACUUGCUUCUAGCAUAGUUUUGGACACUUGAGUAUAUAUACAUACAUAUAGUAUGCUAGGAAAUGUUGCUUUUUGCAUUCAUAUGCACAUUGUUGCCAUGAUAAAGCAUGAUCUUCAUAACUUUAUAAAGUAAACCGUGACAAUUACUUGUCGCCAUGUAGAGACAUAUUGUUUAUGACAAGUAAAGGUGCAUGAUAUUAACACCAUGUUUAAUUGCAAUAUAGUAGCUUAGCACUUUAGUCGUGCUUUCAUAAAUACAAUUUAUUCAUUAUUAUUGCUCUCUUUUUAGACUUACCCUUUCUUUGGGGCCUAGUGGUGCAUUGAGCUGAGGUCAGUAAUUACCCACUGGGAACUAUAAAUUAUAGUUCUCACGCUCUCUGUUUUAUGUUUUCUUUCAGAGCCUUCCACGCCGGGAGAGGCUAGGGACAGUGGGAAGGGCGUUACUUCAAGCUAGCUCUUCAGCGAGAAACGAGUUGAUAGGUGGUCUACCUCUCGAUAUUUUUACUUUGGAGAGGUUGAGAGCUGUACCAGUGUAUUAGAGACCACCCUUUUGUGUACUAUUUUGGACAGACAUUGUAUAACUAUAUGUUUCACUUUUAUUGUUUUAGUAUUUUCUUUUACCUUGUGGUAGAUGAUAGAUCUAUUUGUGCUCUGAUAUCUCUAGAUGUUGAUUAUCUUCGGUUUAUUUUCCACUGUUGAUGUAAACGCCUUAUAUGUGCUGACAUAUGGCGGGUCUGGGCACGCUACCGGGAGGGCCUCUGCCGGUCCCGGGGCGUGACACCCAUUGUGCUUUACGCAACCUCGCACUUCUCGAAACUUGAACCAAAGCGGCCCCGCUAUUCGCCGGCCACGCUAUUUGCUAUUCGGCUAUAAGAAUUUAAAACUUCUGAAGCUAAAAGAUAAGAAAUGCGCGCCCCGCAACAGGGAUAAUAGUGCAACGCCCCGGAGCAACGCGAGGAAAAAACGGUACAACAACCCUGCUAACAGUGCAUCCAUUGGCUUGCUCUAGUGUAAUCUCCACUAAAGCAGAUCAGCGACGCUCGCCUUCAAUCUGCUCCCUCACCAGGGCAACCCCCCACUCCCACUUUCCGAAACCGUAAAGAGUAUAGGGGAGUUAGUGGAAUAAGCUUCGCCGAGCGACAUGGCUUUAGGGUCUGGAACUGGAGGAAGGAGGAGGUGGUUUCGCGGCGGCGAGGCAGGACGGUUAACGGCAGGUGCAGCGUUCGAGAGGUGCGACAUAACUGCUAAAACGAUUGAAUAAUAGUGUAAAAUUUCUCAUAAAUGCUCAUGUCCUUCUUUCAGCCGUAUAAUAAAUCCAUCGUUAAAUGCGAAUAAUAGUGUAAGACCGGGUGAAAGACUGCAAGAAAGCUUCUAACAGUGCAAUGCGGUCCUAAUAAUAGAGUAACAUUCAAUUUAACAAUGCAAUGUAGUUCCGACCAGGGUAACACAACCAGUGGAACACUGAUAAUAAGAGUCCCAAUAAUAGUUCAAUUCUUUAAAGAAAUUGUGCAACGAGUCGUUCAGCAGUGUAAAGUUUUCUCCCCAAUUGUUGAUAACAUGUAAUUAAUAGUAAAAACAAGUCCGUAAAAACACGAUUAAUAGUCCAAAGCGUGAUAAAAGAGGUCAACUAAUCUUGUAAGAGUGCAAUACGAUGGUAAUAAGAGUGCAAUGGUAUGAAAAAUAGUGCAACUAAGCUUGUAAGAGUGUAAUACGGUAGUAAUAAUAGUGCAAUGAUUUGAAAAAGAGUGCAACACUAGCUUAAUUGAGUAUUUUUAAACUUAAUAGUGCAACCCAAUCUAAAUUGAUGCAAUACGCAGAAUUAUUAGUAUAAGUCGUCAUUAACAAUUGAUCAAAAUAGUGCUACAUUGUUUGCUAAAUAGUAUAACAACUUUGUAAGCAAUCCAUUAAUCUGUGAAGAAGAAUUAUAUUUUCUUUGAUGCAGAUUACACGAUUUUAUAGUACUUUGCCACAUACAAGAGGAUUUGCAUACAAUACAACGUUCUAUUACAUCAACUAUAACAAACUCUUCAUAAUAAUUAAUUAACAAAAAUAUGGAAUCAUCUAAGCUUGUCUGCAAUUCCACGCGCAUAGAGCCGACGCUAAUAGGUAUAGGUGGCCAGAGGAGAGUGACGAAGGAGACUGCGAGGAGGAUUCGGCUCGCUCGGAAGGAUACGAUCGAGCAACGAGGCAUUAAGAUUGAUUCGCACUAUCUGGAAUGUUUUAUUUACCUCGAGCCCUUUGGAGCUCCGCUUUACUAUGAAAUAGACAGUACAAUCAGCAAAACAUUAGAAUCCAUCAAUAACAAUAAAGAUCUGCAAAAAUUUAAGAACCUAAAAGAAAGGAAGGCCAAUGGGCUCGUGGCAAAUAAAGCACUCCAGAUAGUGUGAAUCAAUCUUAACGUCUGGUUGCUCGAUGAUACCCUUCCGAGCGAGCCGCCUGCUCCUCGAACUCUGCUUCGGCUCUCUAUCGUCGUUGCCUAAACAUCCUGGAUGAACUGUAGUCUCAUCGCAGGCGUUGUGGCAGUUGUGGCGACGCAUCUCUUCAUAAAGGCGACAAGGUUAAGGCGACACUACUUUUGGUCAAGGAAGCGAAUGUGACGAACGGGGUUCACCGCAAGCGCAGGUGAAGCGACGUCAGAGAAGGAGGCCCUUUGUAUUCCCGUUCCAAUCACUGUGGUGGCGCCGUCGACUGCGUACGCAUCUCUGCAACCCGGCGCCAGCACCGCCAUAGCAAAUACGAGGAGCCCCCUCCUGCGACGCCACUGCACUUCCUUUUACGAUGAACGCUGUCCGUUGCUUUCACUUCCGUGACCAAAGAUAAUGUUGCUUUAACCUCGUUGUCUUUACGAGAAUGCAUCCCAUAUAUAAAAAAAACGGAAAUACAUUUGAAGAGCCGCUUUCACUUCUUGAGGUGUCUCUUCGCCUCACCUAAUCGAGUAUAACGUACAAGUUUGUGUAGGAAUUCUUGCCGAGCAUUAAAUGCGGCUUGCGUGGAAACACAGUCUUCGGGCCACGUUAUUCUAUUCGCAAGACCCAGUGUUUGUUGUUCGGUUCUCUGAGAUUUGGAAGAAGACGCAACCAAUGAUUUGAUUAUUGAUGCAAAUGGAAUUGAAAUAGUGCAACAAUCCUAAAACAGAGCAGUGCAACUUUUUUUGCAAUAAUAUUUUAAUUUUUAACCAGAGAAAAUGAUGCAACGAGACCAUAAAUGGUGUAACAAUGGUGAAAACAGUGCAAACAGUCUUCCCUAAAUAGUAAAAAAAAUUCCUAAGCAGUGCAACGAGCAAUUCAUUUGAAGAACCAAUGGGUAAAGAGUGAAAAUGCACUUGUAGUCAUUCGAUUCUGUACACGCUGCUUUCCCUUUCCGAGGAGAAAAGCCCAUUGACAUUGCCCUUAUGAUGCAAUAACGCAUCUCGAGAACCGAACGUAAUCUUAAUGAUGUCGCUGACGAUAUUUCUUGUUGAGGUGCUAUUGAAAAAUGGCGCUAAUACCGAAACAGAAAUGUAGAACAAUAAUUUGAAAUAUCGGUACAAUGGAUAACGGUUUAGUGUAAUACUAGUCACAAUUAGUGUAAUAUACUCACAAGCAUUGUGAUAAUCCGCCAAAAUGGUGCAAGAGAUGCGCCGUUUUGUAAUAAACUGUCGGCGGUUGAAGGCUAUGCUAACGUUGCAUGCAGAGAUGUUGGAAAUAAAUUAUGGCGGGAAUGGACCUACCUUUUUCCGCCUCUUGUAGAACUUACCAACUCAUGCAAGUUAACUGAAUUAUAUUUUUAUAAAAGAGUGGUAUUGAAUUACUAUGAGCUAAGUUUAUUGUUUCCAACUCAUGGAUAACGUUGAAGUUCCAGUGCACUACCAUUUUAAUGGCUUCUUUCAGGAGGAUAAAGGUCAGGUCAAGUAUGUAGGAGGAUCCUGCCAGCUCGCUUUCAUCGGGCAAGGGAAGAGUUUUAAUUCCCUGCGAGCAUGGUUCUUCAAAUACAUGAAUAGUUCACUGAAAAGCUGCAAGAUUGAAAUUAAACUUUGUUAUAGUGGAAAAAUCGGCAAACUCAUCGAUAUUGUUGAUGACGAUGAUGUCCGAAAUAUGUCGAGACUCUAUAAAAGCCACACAUUUUCGAUGGAACUAUAUGUCGUGAGUAAUGUAGUUGAGAAAAAGGUUCCUAUAUGUGAUCCCGAUGACAUAGAUGAGGUGCUUACGGACGAACGGCUGGACUGUUGAUUAGCAGCCGUUCUGCGGAUGCAUCUACAUCUACACAUCAGCCGCCAAAUUUUGAAAUAGUUGGCUCGCAAGUUGCACUAUUGGUACUCUUUUGCACCAUUACCUUUUACCUGUUGCACCCGUAAGCACAUUAUAUUUAAUGGUUGCACUAUUCCAUAUAUUUUGCACUACUAACCAGUUACCAUGCACUGUCAGGUAAUAUUUUGCACCAUUAUCUUUUACCUCUUGUACCUAUAAGCACUUUAUAUUUAAUGGUUGCACUAUUACAUAUUUUUUGCAUUGCUAACUUGUUAUGAUGCACUGGUUGGUAAUCUUUUGUAUCAUUAUCUUUUACCUCUUACACCCGUAAGCACUUUAUAUAUAACGGUUGCACUGCUACAUAUAUUUUGCACUACUUACUAGUUACAAUUCACUGCUUGCACUUCACUGGUGCUGUAGAUCCUGCCAUCCUAUUCUCAUCGAUGAUGCUGAUACGACAAACAGUGACGGAGGUAUUAUUAUCACUGAUCUGAAAGACUAGGCGGAUUCCGACGAUAGCAUCCGUAUCGUCACAUCUUCUCCCGAUGGAUUUCAUCGGACAUACAACGCCAUGGAUGUUGUCCUAUUGCGCCAAAGCGACGCAAUGGGACUUACUGCUAAGCAAUUCGAUGACGACGAGAUAGAAGAAGACCUCAUCGUGAACAGCGCUACGAUAGAGUCAGAUUGAACUGUCACAGAUAUGGACGAUGUCCACGAGGGCCAGCUCUACAAGACACAAGGCGACUUCAAAAGAGUUCUGAAAGCAUACGCCAUGAAAAGAGGUUUUGAGUACGCUCCCACCAAAUACAACGACCUUAAGAUAACCGUAUGAUGUCGUAUCGCAGAUUGCCCGUGGAGAAUAAAGACGCAUCACGUACCAAGACUUACACAAUGGUGGGUAAAGAAAUUUGAUUCGAAACACACUUGUAGUAGGGCAAUAGGGGGAUUCGGCCACAGGAAUUGCGAUGCAGCAUUUAUCGCAGCAUUUGUUAGGAAGCAGGUCAUGGCAAACGAGAAAUACACACCGAAGAUCGUUCAGACCGAGAUUCUGCAGCAGCAUGGCGUCAGAAUUUCCUACUGGAAAACCUACCGGGCCAGAAAAAGAAUCCUUUAGGAGGUGCAUGGCGAUUUCGAGGGCUCAUUCGCUGCACUUCGGUUGUACAUGCGAGAGCUGAGGAAUGGUGAUGCGGAUGCAUGUCUUCAGCUACUUUAUCAGGACGAGGGUCAUUUUCACUAUUUUUUCUGGGCAUUCGGUGCAUUGAUUCGUGCAUUCUGGAAGCACCGCGGGCCGCUAUUUGGACUGGCUGGUACGAUCUUGCACUAAUAAGCGAUGUUCACACCAUUAUAUAAAUAUGUUGCACUAUUGUAUAUUAUAAUGAUGCUAAAUACAAUAUUUUGCACGAUUACGCACUAAUAUAUACUCUUUGCAAUUCUUCCAAAUACUUUCCUAACUGGUAAGUUUAGAGGUGCUUUGCUAACGGCAUCAUGUAUUGAUGAAAAUAACUGCAUACUGCCAUUAGCGUGGGCAGUUGUGGAAGGUGAAAAUCGCUAUUCACUACUACAGAUACAAGAUUUAGUGGCGACAAAUGUCGCCACCAAAGCCAAAAUUGUCGCCACGAAAAAUAUUUUGGCGGCGACAAUUCGUCGCCGCAUGCCGCCGCCUAUAACCCCGUCGGUAAAACUAUUUGGUGGCGACAAAAUGUCGCCGCUAAAAGUUAGAUAAUUAGCGGCAACAACCUGUCGCCGCGAAAAAUUAGAGAAUUAGUGGCGACAUGAUGUCGCCUCUAAAAGUUAGAAAAUUUAGAUAAUUAAUGGCGACAUUUUAUCACUGCUAAAUAUUUGGUGGCGACAAUUUGUCUCCACUAAAAGUUAGAUAAUUACCUACGGGGCCUAGUUAUAUGGUGGCGACUAUUGUCGCCACUAUUUUUCUGAUCGAAAAUUAUUUUUUGAGAAAAAAUAAUUGGUAGUAAUAGAUAUUAUUGAUUUAAUAUAAAUUGCUAAAAAUAACCUAUAAUUAUAAUAAUUUCUCGUUCUUAAAUUUUAACCUUUAAUUUCAAUUUAAUCCUCUCAGAACAAAAUUAAACCCAAACACUAUGGCUCAAACACCUUAGAACCAAUAUAUAUUAAAUCUAAUUGAAUAUCUAUAAGUAUUUAAUCAUAAAAUUAAUCCACACAAAUAAGUAAGACUGAAUCAAACUUUAAAUGUUAGAGUAUCAUUGCAUUGUCACCUAAUACACCCAACACAACAAAAAAACAAAACACAAUAAUAGUGUUUUUGUCAUUUCUACAUGCUAUCAAAUGUAAAGUUUUCAAAAUAUGUCAAGUUUACUUAAACUUGAUUCAUAUAUCGUCAAAAUACUGCCAAAAUUUUUCUCGCCACCACCUCUUAUAAAUCUGCAAAUAAAAAUAAAAAAAAAUUAGCAAGUCCUCCAACAAUUAAACCUGCAACAGAAAAGUGACAAGCUUAUCAUCUUUUCCACUAUAAGCAACAUUCAAGAUUAAUUCAGAAGCCUAGUUACUUGACAACAGUAUUGCACAAAUACAAAAAAUGGAAAGUACCUCAAGCAGGGUAACCUAAAAAUUCUAAAUUAUGAAACUUAAUCCAAAUAAUAACUAUUAUUCCUGCAUUUUUCUACUUAAAAAAUGCAUCAUCAAACAACGCUGCACCUUGAAUCGCCACUUAUAGUUAGGACAAGUCAUUGAACAGAGCUAAUGGAAUUGUAGUGGGUUCCAUCGGACAACUUUACCUUUACCGUCUACAUUUAUCUUGUGCUUCCAGUUAUAUGGAGACUCUUUUCAUAAGUAACGAAUAGUUCCUAUGUUGUGCCAGUUGUGAUCUGGAGUAAUGAUUCUCUUAAGCAUCUUUCCACGCCGGAAAUUUUUUCGGAAAAAAAAGGUCAGUUUAGAAACAAAAAGAGGAGCUUGCAGUUCAUUGUCUUUCUUGUCCCAAGAAUCAUCAUGCACUACCUACAAAAGAGAAAAAGAAUAAAAGUUAAAACAAUGUAAACGUAAAUCAUGCAAAUAGAUUUUGAAUAAUAAAGCAAAUAAGCAACUCAUAAAAAUCCCUAAUGAUUUCAUACAUCUCAUCAGCACUCUCAUAUUCAAAUAGUUUAGAAUUUAUUCGCAUAAAAAAGAUUAAGAAUGCCUAAGAAGUAUUUAAACAUACAGGAACUGAAUUGGAAAUUCUUUUUAUUAAUAAAAAGGACAAACUUUUUGCAACUUGACAAAGAGUUCAUUAGCGUUUAACAUCAAAGUCAAAAUCAAGAGGACAAAUCAAAAAAGCAAAGAUAGAAAAAAUUACAGUGUUUAACAUCAAAAUUAAAAGCCCAACUAGCUCGAGCUCAGGUCUGUUGAGAUCCAAAUCUUAACCUGCCUUAAAAAUGGAGCUUCGACACGAAAACAAACUAAGUUGGAACAAAUGGCUGAAGUGAAAACUUUCUACAAGUUCAGGGACUAGAUUACUUGAGUAUAUACAGUGAGAACUGAAGUGAAGUUCUCCACGAAUUGUCAUGCAAAAAUUUAUACGUGAGAACCGCAUGAUGCUAACGAAACAACAGAGGUUAGAGACGCAAGAGUCAAAUCAGUAUGAUGAACAAUCAUUCUGUAUUCCAUCGUUCAAAACAAGAACAUAACAUGUUGUUUUUCAUUUUGGGAAAUUAACAAAGAAAGAUAUUUUUGCCCACAUUAAAAAAGUGGUAAUAAAAGUUAGACCUUCCAAAGGCUUGUCGAAGUUGUUGAAGCACAUAAUUGUCACCUUCAACUGCAGAAGCACUUCUCGCCGUUGUUUUUGGUGCUUCUGAUUCAGCGCAAGCUCUCAAUACCGCCUCAUUCUGCAAUAGUUUGUUGCACAUUUAAGUUCAUAGAUUAUUAUAAUUUGAAGACAAUUUUCCAAAAUUACACAUCAUGAAAUCACUGCUGCACAACGAAAAGUGGUCAAAAAAUGUAAAAGGAACGGAGAGAAAAAGUAGGAGGCAGUUCUGUUAGUAGGCAAUUUUGUCGUUGGUUACAAGGUUGUCAAAUUCAAUUGGUGAUAUCCUAUUCUAUUCCUUAAUGUCUUACACCUAACUUUUGUCGCAUACCUACCCAAAGUAAAUGGGCAUCAACGAUUGUUAAUUUGUGACUUAUUAAAUAACGUGAUGAUUAUAUGGCUUGGUUUCUUGACCUCUUUUCUAGUACUUGCCACCAACCUGUAUACUGUACUAAUUAACAUGUAACAAAUAGUUGGUGGAGAUAGUACACCAACCUGUAUACUGUACUAAUUAACAUGUAACAAAUAGUUGGUGGAGAUAGUACACCAACCUGUAUACUGUACUAAUUAACAUGUAACAAAUAGUUGGUGGAAUAGUAAGGCUCCAGCUGACAAUAAGUGUACUGGCUUCAACUAAAUCAUUUCCUCUGCUUUUGCAAAAUGGAAAGAGCGUCCAUUUGUAGAGCUCUGGAGUUAUCACUCGUGGAAGCUUAGUAGUUCCAUUACAACUUAUUAAAUGCAGCUUUAGUAAAAGUUACACAACAAAUCAUUUUACUAGAAGCAAAAAAGAGUUAGAAAAUUAAAAUGGUAUCAGUAAACCACAACCAGAAUCAAGCAUUGGGGAUGAUAUUAUAUAUGAAGAAUGGACAUAGCAAUCAGAAUGACAAAGUGCUUGUCUAAUGUAUUCAUGACAUAACCUUUAAAUGGAAGAGCUCACAAGGUGACCACAAGACCAACAUAGUUCUAUGGUUCUAGAUAAGGGGCAAUUAGAAACUCUUCAAUUAUAAGAACAGUUUACAAUUUGACAACUUAACUAAGAAAACUAUCAAUAUGAUGGACGGGCAGAGCUACUACAGAAAAAAUAAGGGAAUUACUAUCCAGCUUCAGCACGUCCAACAACACUGCAGGAAGGGAUAAAGAGGAAACUCAGUGAAUUCUAGUAAAAAAUACCACAGAGCAAAAUGGUCUGCAAAUCUAUCUAAUUUAGAUAUAAAAUCUAAUUAAUUUCAAUAAAUGAAUGGAGUAUUAAGUAAAAUUCAGAGAAGCAACAACAUGGAUAUUAACAAAACUUUGUUCAGUAAAUAGACUUGGUAAUUACAAAUUCACUAUCGCCAAAAUUUAGAACUGAUUUGUAAUAUAAUCAAUAGAAGUUCCAACUAUAGCAGUAAACGAGCCAAAAGCCUGGGAUAAAGAGACAUGAUGAAUGUAAGUUCCCAUCCAAUAAAGCAAGAACUUCAUAUAGUGAGCAACCAAUACAUCAAGCAAUCUAUUCUAGUUGCAAACAACCCUUAAGUAUUAAACUUCCCCUCAUUUGUCCAGGUCAAUCUUGUCUAUAUCAAAUACAUUUCAGACCAUGAAGAAAAAUUAUCCAUCUCCCUUCUGCUUCACCAUUCCCUUUAUUUCCUUAUUGCCAAAUAACAGAACGCAAAAGUAUCAGGAAUUUUACAACAUCAAUCACAGGAAAUUUAGAUAUCUAAUUUUUCUUAAUAUAUAAAAUUUCUUUUUUCCCCCAUUUACUUGGUAAUCUGUAAGUCCAAAACACAAUAAAAUUAUAGUGCAAAUUAUCAAAGAUGUCCAGUAAUUGCUCCCAAUUAAUAUCAUGUUAUCAUUCAAGAACUCUUGUCCUAUGCAUUGUGGCAAAUACACAAUUAAUUAGUAAAGAGAGAAAUUACUCAAAAAAUUACGAUAGGGAUGGCAACGGCUGCUGCGGCGAUGACUGAGAGACAAUGAAGCAUCCACAUGAACUAGCGACCGAGAGGCAACGGGUGAAACAAGCUGCGAGCUAACAAAGGGCGUAGAGUGCAGGGUGACAAGCUGCGAGCUAACAAGCUGCGAGCAUCCACCGCCGUCGGGAAGAUAUCAAGGAUGAGCGAUCUAGGGUUUGUGGCACGCACCUUUGAAGAUGAGCUUCUGGCCACGGGGGAGGAUGUUGGUAAGGGGUUGGAUUAGGGUUUUGAGGUCAACCUCAAAGGCGGUUCCACCUGCGGGUUUGGCUAGAAGACGGGUACCUGCGGCUUCUGGCCGCAGGGGAGGACGAGGCGGCGCGCGUUUGCCCACGGCGAGGGAGGAUGUUGGUGAGGGGUUGGAAGCCGCUCGUGGGGGUGCUGGAGGACGAGGCGGCGCAGCUAUGGAAGCUCCCGAUGAAGACCACAGUGGCGAGGCGGAGGGGACGAAGAUGGGUAAACUUGCAGAGAGAGAGAAAGAGUAAUAGGCAAUGUAAAAUUUUAUUUACAGCUGUAAUUUUAUUAAGUUUUUUUUUAUGUUAAAAGACAAUAAAGUCCCUAGGCCUUAUGUAAUAGAUGUUAAAUAAGUGAGGGUAAAAUUGUCAUUCUGAAGGAAUGGGUUGGUGAGUGGCGAAAAAAAGAGAGGGAAGUUAUGGCGCUCUUCAUAAGGAUAUAUCGCGGCGACACCUUGUCGCCACCAUUUUCUACGCAAUGGCGGCGACAAAUAAAUGUCGCCACCAUUUCCUAAGAAUCAGCGGCGACAAAUAAAUGUCGCCGCCAUUUCCCAAGAAUCGGCGGCGACGAAAAAAUGUCGCCGCCAUUUCCUAUGAAUCGGCGGCGACAAAUAAAUGUCGCCACCAUAUUAAAUACAUUGGUGGCGACAGUGCUUGUCGCCACCAAAAAGUCGCCACUAAAUAUCCCUUUUGUUGUAGUGAUUCCUGGCACUGGUUUCUAGAAUAGUUCCAGGAUAGUGUCGUCGGUGAUCACGACGUCAGUAGAGAAAACAAUAUACUUACUAUUAUUUCCAAUCGACAAAAAGGUUGGAUUGAAGAUGUAUCCGAUGUUUUUUCGGAUGUACCUUAUGGUUAUUGCAUGUACCAUCUGUCUACCAAUUUCUCGCACGCGCCAAAAAAUACCUCUGCGUGGAGAAGAUUUUGGGUGGCAGUGCGUGCUUACACCAUCACGGAGUUCAACGAAUACAUGGAGAAGAUGAAGGAUUUGAACCCGGAAUAGUAGAAGUAUGUGGUCAAGCUUCCUCGGUAUAGGUGGGCUAUCCAUUGUUUCCUUGAAAGGCGUUAUUCAAUGCUCACUUCCAACUGUGCCGAGACGAUAAAUAGCGUUAUUCGACAUUUAAAGAGUCUUCCAAUUAACUACCUGGUCGAGGAAACACGAAAGAAAACAGUGUGGUAUUUUUACCAGAGAAAAAAUACUAGAGAGAAGAUUACCAGUGUUUUAACGCUAUAUACAAAAAAGAUAUUAGAGAGCUCGAGGGAAGCGUCCUGCUUUUACACACUGAACCAUUCGACCGAUGUCCUUUUUCAGGUCUUGUUGUCUAUUUUGCACUAUUUUAACACUAGUUUGCACUACUUAUGAAUAGGUUACACUAAUGUUGGAACGUAUUGUACGAUAUCACAUAAUGUUGCACUAGUGUAAGUGUAACAUACCACAUCCCUCGUAAAUCGUGCCGAGUUUCGUCGAAACGAGCGGAACGCGGAGUGGAACGAGUGGGUAUAGGCGCUAGGUGUAUUGGAGCCUAUAUAUGGUGCAAAGGGACCCGAGAGAGUGAGAUUUCAAAAUCUGGCUAAGUCCCAGAUUUUGUACUCUUGGGGACCGGUCCCUGAAGGAGAGACCGGUCCCCGUGCGCGUAGCCUGCCAGAAAAUCCUGAGGCAUUCGGUCCCUGGUGGUGAGACCGGUCCUCGGGAGACCGGUCCCUUGGGGGAGAGACCGAUCCCUCGCUGCGCAGCAGCUGAAAAAGCCUGAAAAUCGGCUAAGUCCUGGAAAACCCCCGUUCGGGAACCGGUCCCUGGUCGGGGAGACCGGUCCCCGAAAGCGAAAAAUGCCCAGUCUGGGCAGAUCAAUAGGAAACAAGUGGAGAGGCUUAAGUGUAAUUGUUACAACACUAUAUAUGGCCCAUCCCCUCUUUCCCACAGCAUUUCUCUCAUCCUCUCUCAUUUUCUCUCUUUCUCUCUCUAGAACCCCUCUAGAGCUUGGAGAAGAAGAAGAAGAACUUGGAGAAGAAGGUGGAUUUGGUGCUUUGGAGGUUCUAGGAGCUCUCCAACAAGAAGAACCUUGGUGGAACUUGGAUUAGAGGUAAGUUUUGUAAGGUUUUCCUCUAGGGUUUGGGUUUUGGUUUGGAGAAUUGGAGCUUUGUGUUCCUUAGGGGCUUUAGAGGCUCAUUUAGGCCAUGAACAACAAGGUAUCCAUGAGAGCUCAAGGUGCUCUCAUGGUGAACCCUUGGAAGUUGGGUUAGGAGCCCUAGGGUUGGUUCCAAAGGUCUAGAAACCUUCCUAGGAUGCUCCUUAGAUGAUUCUAAGCUAUUAUUUGCUUAGGGUUGAGAUCGAUUCAUGAGGAAACCCUAAAUGACAUUGUUAGGGCUCAAAUUUGGGGCUUUUGCCCUAGAAUUUUUCGGGGGCAAAUUGACCCCGUAGAACUAAAUUGGGGGUCAAAUAAACACGUUGGACAACCCCGUUUGACGAAACGAACAUGUUUAAGAAUAGUUCAUGUAUACAAGUGUGACGCCCCAACUUCCCAGGGGGUCACCCAUCCUAGGACUACUCCCGUCCUAGCACGCUUAACUCUCUUAACCUCUUGGGUCUUGCCACCACCCAAAAUGCUUAAGCCGGGUUAAGAGUUUAGCCCUAUUAUAUCUCAUAUAUAGGACUAUCUGGGGUCUCACAAUCUCCCCUCCUUUAAGCCCUGACGUCCUCGUCAGGCUCAGACUCACAAGUACCAGGCGAUGUGAGACUCGUCUCGCUAGCCCGUCAUCCAGACCCUGGCUCAACCGAGACUCAUCUCACACUUCCGGCUGGUAAUUGGCUCUGAUACCAUCUGUGACGCCCCGACUUCCCAGGGGGUCACCCAUCCUAGGACUACUCCCAUCCUAGCACGCUUAACUCUCUUAACCUCUUGGGUCUAGCCACCACCCAAAAUGCUUAAGCCGGGUUAAGAGUUUAGCCCUAUUAUAUCUCAUAUAUAGGACUAUCUGGGGUCUCACAACAAGGGCCUAAUUUGGCACCAUUUUGGAUUGUAGGACGCGGAUCGUCGUUCGUAGCAUUCGGGAGUUUCGUAUUCUACACCCACACGAUUACGAGAGGCGGGGGGUGCACGCCGGAAUCGUUGGAUUCCCUUCUAUGUCUAUUUCUCUAUUCUUGAGCAUAUGGUUGUUUAUUCCUUCAUGCAUAUUAGGGUUAAUGCACAUGUGAACUUUGGUUGUUUUUAUUACGUUUAUCUCAGGGGUAUUUGAAAAUGGAGAUAAAUGGAACCAUGAUGGACAUGAGUUAUUGAACCCUAGGAAUUGCAUGAUAGUGGGACUUGGACUUAGCAUAAGUAAACAAAUGGUGACAAUGACAAUAGAGAGAUAGAUUGGCUUAGACAAAUGGAUGUUAAACAUAGAUUUAACUAUAGUGAUAUUGUGACGAGAUCGACUAGAAAGUAACAUGAAAAUAUAGGUAGAAAACCUAUUACAAAAGUGGCAACGUGACAUGUGGCUUAAUAUCCUCAAUGUGGGGAUUUGAUCGAUACUCAUGAUAAGUCUUGGCUUGAGGGAAGUCGCUCUCCCUCAAGCGGUGUGUUUUCGAAAAUCGACACCACAGGGAGCGAGGUCCCUGAAGACGGUCCCUCAGGUCGGUAGUGCUUGGAGCCUCCCCGGUAAAGAAAGGGAUUUCGGGUUAUGAGUUUUUGGGGUUAACACGGUUAAUCGGCAAGAUUGGGUAAGAGCUAGAGCUUAAUUAUGAUUUGAGCAUGCAUGCAUUUUUCAUUAUUGUACUGAGUAUUUGUAUCCACUGACAUUCUUCUGCAGACAUAGUAUUAGAUGCAUUAGUAAUGGUUAUUUUUUUUCCUUGAAAUACUUAUGCCUGGAUAGACUUAGUGGGUAAGUCGGCGAGGUCGGAUGCCGAACCCACUGGGAACUCCGUUGUAGUUCUCACUCCACUAACCUUACAGGUCCUAGCACGAGCGGGGCGGCGGAGGACCGAGGCAAGGGUAUAGCGCCGUAGAUAGCGGCCACCGAGACUUUAUGCAUUUUGUAGCCAAUUCCCUUUUGUGUAUACAUGCAUCAACUUUAUUUUGUUGACUCCGGGAUGUAAAGCUGUAAACAAUCAUGUAAAAAAAUUGGUGGAUGGCUAAAUGUAAAAAGAUAUGAUGGAUGAAUGAAAUGUAAAGUUUUAAUUACUCGUAUUUGAUUUAAAUUUAAUCAAAUAUCAUGUAUGUUGUACAUUUAGCUCAAAGCUUUCGCUUCCGUUGCUGCUUGCCCUUGUGCAAGUCUUGUAUUAUAUAUGCAAAUCUCUUGUGGAUUGCUUAUUUAUACAUGUUGUUAGAGCCUUGGGCGGACAGGGGAGGCUCUGUCCGUUCGGCGUCUGUUGACGUGACCCGAACCCGACCAAAUUGGCGGGGAUUGGGGCGUGACAGUAAGUAUUUUAUGUAGUUUAUCUCUACUCAUUGCACUAUUUGUCUCACCAUUUUCCUCUGGCUAGUGGUUUUCUAGGUAAUUGCACCCAACAGUACAGAGGUUGUGGAUCUUUCAAAAAUGACAUGUUCCUGCAAGCGUUGGGACAUUGACGGCAUCCCAUGUAAUCACGCCAUGGGAGCAAUUUCAUGUAGGCUGCGGAAUCCGUAUGAUUUUGUAGAGAACUGGUUCAAGACCUCGACUUAUCACGCAACCUACAACGAUUACGUCCCCCUUACUAGAGGCAAAGAGCAUUGGCCUGAAAUACCAAGCAACACUGUUCCGCCGCCGCCGCCAAACAUGCGCAUACAGCCGGGGAGAAGGAAGGUUGCGCGGAGAGAGUCCAUUUCUAACGGCCUGUUAAAGAAACGGUGCGGGAAUUGCCAAAGGUGGGGGCACAACAAAAGAUCAUGCAAGAACCCUCCUCUGGCCAGAACAAACCAGCCACGCGCGACGACAUCUGCAGGCGCAAUGCAGGAAACAGCGAAAAAUCCUCCGUCCAUAUUGUAAUAGUUCAAGACUCGUUGAUAAUAGUAUAACGUAGAUGAUAAUUGUUCAAGACUCUUUGAGUAAUAGUGUAAAGAGGAGGAUAACAGUUCAACAGUCUUUGUAACUAGUGUAACAAAGACCACAACAGUUCAACAGUCUUUGCUACAUUGCUUAACAGAUAUAAAAGCUUACACUACUUAGAAAUUAUAUGCGCCGAUACUUGAUGUGUUACACCAUUACAAGUAAAUUUCGAAUCAUUUAUUUAUAACAAAUGUAAUGAGAAUAUUAAUAUUUACACCGAAUGUUCAAAUGUGAGAAAAAUGACAAUAUAAAUUCAAGAAUUGUUAAUCGAAUCAUUGCAAGUAAAAGAGCAGCAAAAAUUCUGCUGCUAUCUCGCCCCGUUUCUUCGCCAUAUUCUCCUGGGAGAAGUCCAUGUUCCACCCCUUCUACAUGUAUUCUUCGUAUGUCAAAAUGAAAAUUGCGCAAUCAUUUGACUAAUCUUGCAUCGGGAUGUCUUUUAUGUUGAUCUUGCUCCUAGUCAAUGGGACGGGUCUCACGGCGGCGAAACAAAUCGGGAAGUUUAUUUUGCCAAAAAUUUUCUACGAAAUCACACUGUAUAAGAGAAUGUUGCACUAAUUAGAAAUAUAACAGGAUAAUCCUUGCACAAUAUUAAACUAUUAAAGAAAUACUUACCGCUUUUUCAAACCCAACAUUGUAUUUAGCAUUUUUAAUGGGCGAGAAGUGGAGGUACUUCCCUUCUUGGAGAUCAACUGUCAGCAAAUGCCAGUAAUCGAAGUUGAAGAGCGGGAUGGACCAAUACUUCGCUUCACUAAUUACCCCCUCGGUCAAAUCGUUCAAAAACAUGUCGGCCGCAAUUGCAGUACCUAUGGUAUGAUAAAAAAAAAUCGUGGAGUAUAUGUGUAAUAUACCGAACUUCUAUAGUCAUGAAGUUUUGGUGGAUGUUAGGAGCCAUUGGAAUCGUUCCGGCGAAGUUCGGGAGUGUUCGGGGGUUUUCGGUGCGCGUUGGGCGCGAAAACGGAGCCCGAAAGGCUAUGUUGGACCAUGGACUAAAUUCAGCAUAAGCGUGGAUGAAAAGAUGGUUUAACCACGGUCGAAAAUGUGUUUCAGGUGUCUCGGUGCUAUUUGAGGUGAAUCGGAGCCCCCAGGAGCGAGAACGAAGCAAAACGGAAAAAAGGUUGAAAAUUGGCUAAGUGCUAAAAUUACUGGGCUGGGAGGACCUAUGGGGUACGGACCCUCUGGCCAAGGUCCAGACCCCGAGAGUGAAAUCUGCCCAGUAAAGGGCUGAUGGCAGUUUUGUAAUUAGGAGGAACUUUAUAUAAAGGGGCUUCUUCUCCCCUUUCUUCUCCUUCCCAGCCAACACACACACACCCCCACACCUUCUAGUGAGAGAAACUCUCUCCCUCCCUCUAGAAUACUCUCUCCUCUCUCUAGAUCUCUCUCUCAAAUUCGGAGGGUUGGAGAGAAGGAGCUUGGGAACGCGUUGGAGGUGUCGGUUCGGGUCCUCGUGCACCCGAUUGCGCGGCAUGCGUCCGUCUCGGCAUUCACAUUUUGGUAAGUGUUGGGAUUUUAAUUAAAUCCUUCAUGAAUGAUAUUCUAGUAAUUCCUAGAGUAUAUUAUGCAUGUUACUCCAUAUAUUUUUGGGGUAUUUGGGGAUGUAUUAAGGCUAGGACUUCAAAUUGGGGGUUUUUAGUGAAUGAGGGUUUUGAUAUCAUUUAACCCUUUAAUCCUCUAAUUGAAGGUUAGAGUUGAACCCUUGAUGACCCUACAUUGCGGAUUGUUGGGCGUUCGGUGAUCGUUUGCACGUAGAGUCGAACCGGAUCACGUGUACCGCAGGAGCCUGAUUGCAAGUGACUACAAGCAAUCGGAGAGCGAUAUUAGGUAGGUUAUGCUUCACCGAAGUGAUUAAGUCACUUUCAAGCCAAAGUGAAGUAUGAAUGUUGUUGAUGCAUGUAUAGUUGGUAGGUUGUAUUUGAUAAUGUGAAUACCUAAAUCAUAUUAUGCUUGAUAUUGUUACCUACCAUGAUAUGCUAUAUGAAUGCAUGAAGUAGAGGCUAAUCAAGAAUGUAUGAGAUAGAUGCUAGUGAUGAAUGCAUAGAUAUAUGCUAAGUGAAUGCAUGAGUUAAAUGCUAGAUGCAUGUACAAGAUGUAUGCUAAAUAAAUACAUGAGCUAGAUGUAUGAGCUAGAUAUUAUAUAAAUGCAUGAUUUAGAUAUGAAUGCAUGAUUGAGAUGCUAAUAA
RNAcentral lists this long non-coding RNA (34868 nucleotides) under Ananas comosus (pineapple). Its description in RNAcentral is "long non-coding RNA (ACOM_LNC016585)". Lineage: Eukaryota; Viridiplantae; Streptophyta; Magnoliopsida; Poales; Bromeliaceae. The record is from RNAcentral.